RNAcentral lists this ribosomal RNA (434 nucleotides) under uncultured Blautia sp. RNAcentral's name for it is "bacterial SSU rRNA". It matches the Rfam family "Bacterial small subunit ribosomal RNA", at positions 341 to 792 of the family's 1533-position model. The record is from RNAcentral. Lineage: Bacteria; Bacillati; Bacillota; Clostridia; Lachnospirales; Lachnospiraceae.
ACGGGAGGCAGCAGUGGGGAAUAUUGCACAAUGGGGGAAACCCUGAUGCAGCGACGCCGCGUGGAGGAAGAAGUAUCUCGGUAUGUAAACUUCUAUCAGCAGGGAAGAAAAUGACGGUACCUGACUAAGAAGCCCCGGCUAACUACGUGCCAGCAGCCGCGGUAAUACGUAGGGGGCAAGCGUUAUCCGGAUUUACUGGGUGUAAAGGGAGCGUAGACGGAAGUGCAAGUCUGAUGUGAAAGGCAUGGGCUCAACCCGUGGACUGCAUUGGAAACUGUAUUUCUUGAGUGCCGGAGGGGUAAGCGGAAUUCCUGGUGUAGCGGUGAAAUGCGUAGAUAUCAGGAGGAACACCAGUGGCGAAGGCGGCUUACUGGACUGUAACUGACGUUGAGGCUCGAAAGCGUGGGGAGCAAACAGGAUUAGAUACCCUGGUA